UUUUGUGUGUAUGCAUUGACAUA
This 23-nucleotide non-coding RNA is filed under the name Arabidopsis thaliana (thale cress). Lineage: Eukaryota; Viridiplantae; Streptophyta; Magnoliopsida; Brassicales; Brassicaceae. The record is from RNAcentral.